CCUACGGGGCGCAGCAGUGGGGAAUAUUGCACAAUGGGGGAAACCCUGAUGCAGCGACGCCGCGUGAGCGAUGAAGUAUUUCGGUAUGUAAAGCUCUAUCAGCAGGGAAGAAAAUGACGGUACCUGACUAAGAAGCCCCGGCUAACUACGUGCCAGCAGCCGCGGUAAUGCGUAGGGGGCAAGCGUUAUCCGGAUUUACUGGGUGUAAAGGGAGCGUAGACGGCCAUUCAAGCCAGAUGUGAAAGCCCGGGGCUCAACCCCGGGACUGCAUUUGGAACUGUAUGGCUGGAGUGUCGGAGAGGCAG
This 305-nucleotide ribosomal RNA is filed under the name uncultured bacterium. Its description in RNAcentral is "bacterial SSU rRNA". It matches the Rfam family "Bacterial small subunit ribosomal RNA", at positions 338 to 660 of the family's 1533-position model. The record is from RNAcentral.